GGCAGGGGUGGCAGAGCCAGGGGAGCUCGGCAGGGUCACCCCCUUGCUCUGUGGGGCGGUCCCGGCCUCGCCGCUCCUUCGGGGCUGGGGUGAAGGGCAACUCUCUCGCCGCCCCGGUCCCUGCCCGCUGCCAGGCAGCCGCGGCUCCCGCCCAAGGCAGGGCAGUCCCACGCGGAAGUCAGGGCGCUGCUGGGUGCACAUGAGACCUCGGGGGAAGGAGACGGGGCAGGACACCGUGCUCGGCCAGGAGCCCCGCCAGCCCCGCAGCCCGUCCCGCCGGCGGCUGCAUCCCCCACCGACGGCCCCGCGGAGACCUGCCCGGGGCAGCCAAGGCAGCCGGGGGGGCGAGGGAGGCUCCGCGCUUCACCAUGCAGGAUGAAAUUCCGUUGACCCCCUGGAGGCAUUUUCCCUUGGAAGACUCCGCUUUUAUCCCCCGGGAUGAAGAAAAGUGGGACUUUGUGCUGGUGAGUGACUUCCAUGAGGUGGGCAGCGAGAAGGAGACCAAGAGGAGGAAGUUCCUGGACGAGCUGAGCAAGAAGGGGUUCAUCAUCAAGAAAAUUGAGGAUGAGAAGCUAUUUCACGGGGUCCGUGCCCCAAGAAAGAUUUUCCGCAAAUACCAGUGGCUCCUGAGGAACCCUGAUGACCCCGGCAGCAGGCCCGAUGCCCGCCAUGAUGUACCAGAGACCACCAGGUGGGUGCUGAGCUGGGCUACUGACUCCCAGCACCUUGGGCUCCCCUUCCUCCGCCCAGCAGCCGUUUCCCAGCUCAGCUCACGGUUCUGCCAGGCUUCUCAUUCCCACCUCCACCUGCAAAGCUGCCGGCUCCUCCCCGUCCACAGCAGCUCCCCAUCCCUGCCCUGGAUUCUGGUGCACACCUCAGAACCACAGAACAGUUUGGGUGGGAAGGGACCGUAAAGCCCCCGCCCAGUGCCACCCCCUGCCCUGGGCAGGGACACCUCCCACCACACCAGGUUGCUCCAAGCCCCCUCCAGCCUGCCCUUGAACCCCUCCAGGGAUGGGGCAGCCACAGCUUCUCGGGGCAACCUGGGCCAGGCUCUCACCACCCUCACACCAAACAAGUUCUUCCCCACAUCUCAGCUCCAUCUCCCCUCUUUCAGGGUCAAACCCUUCCCCCUCCUCCUAGGGNAGGAAGUUCCUGGACGAGCUGAGCAAGAAGGGGUUCAUCAUCAAGGUGAGGGGCGGCAGGAGGGAAAGGCAGCGGGUGCUUGGCUCUUGUGGUGCCCGUUCUGAGCCCAG
RNAcentral lists this long non-coding RNA (1256 nucleotides) under Calidris pygmaea (Spoon-billed sandpiper). RNAcentral describes it as "lncRNA (ENSCPGG00000003056.1)". Lineage: Eukaryota; Metazoa; Chordata; Aves; Charadriiformes; Scolopacidae. The record is from RNAcentral.